This 682-nucleotide long non-coding RNA is filed under the name Homo sapiens (human). RNAcentral's name for it is "non-protein coding lnc-IKBIP-9:1". The record is from RNAcentral. Lineage: Eukaryota; Metazoa; Chordata; Mammalia; Primates; Hominidae.
AGGCGCGCGUUCCGGGUCUAUAUUUUUUGAGAGGGGUCGGGCUCGAGCUCUUACCCUGCUCGCUUUGUCCCUUCACCUUCAGGUGUCUCUCCUUGACCACGGGCUUCAGUUCGCUUCACUUAAGUGAAUCACAGUAUCUAGUAGUCACUUAAAAAACAAAACAAAACGCGAAUGCUUGAUAAUAUAUUUAGGUGUUGGAGUUACAACAUCACUGCAGUACUUUGUGUCACAACUUCUGCCAUUACAGUACUUUUUAAAAUAAGUUCCAUCCAUUGACAUUAAACAUAGGUAUGUCUGUAUUUUUCAUCAGACUCCUGGAGAAUAUUUUAAAAAGAAAUGUGCAGCAAGAAGUCUUACGACAGCUUGCCGCGUUAUCACAGUAAUCUACAGAACACGUUGAAACAUUGAACUCCUGAGAUGUUACAGCGAUGAACUACUGAAAGUGACUGAUAGCAGAUUGUGCGUGUGUGUGGUUAAUACAUUUAGGAAGCUUUCAUUAGAUUCAGCUCAACAGGGAGGGGCGUAGUUUAGUUGGGGAGAGUUUAAUAGGGAUUCAACCUGUUAGACUUCUGACUCUUAUAUUUUCCAAGCUCUUGACAAAGUAACCUUGGGAAUUUACUUCAUCUCUGUGUACCUGUUCCCUAGAUGUAAGAUAGGGGUGGGACUGGCCUCAUAGGUUCAC